RNAcentral lists this ribosomal RNA (415 nucleotides) under uncultured fungus. RNAcentral describes it as "eukaryotic LSU rRNA". The stretch from base 47 to 200 matches the Rfam family "5.8S ribosomal RNA". Lineage: Eukaryota; Fungi. The record is from RNAcentral.
GUUGUUGUGUCAUUAGUCUGAGUGGUAAACACAUGAAACAAGUUAAAACUUUCAACAACGGAUCUCUUGGUUCUCGCAUCGAUGAAGAACGCAGCGAAAUGCGAUAAGUAGUGUGAAUUGCAGAAUUCAGUGAAUCAUCGAAUCUUUGAACGCACAUUGCGCCUUCUGGUAUUCCGGGAGGCAUGCCUGUUCGAGCGUCAUCAAACACAUCCUCAAGCACUUUUGCUUGGUAUUGGUGGCAGAUGUCCGCAUCUCCUCUUAAAUUCCUCAGCGGAAACUACUGCGGUCUCAGGUGUCAUAAGAUUACCUUUCGCUUGAUAACUGCCGGUAGGUUCUUGCUGUGAAGAGCCCCCCAGCUAUUCUUUUACGUUUGACCUCGAAUCAGGUAGGGAUACCCGCUGAACUUAAGCAUAUC